AACGUAGGAGACAAACGUUAUCCGGAGUUACUGGGCGUAAAGGGCGUGCAGGCGGUCGACUAAGUCUGGCGUGAAAGCUCGCGGCUAAACCGCGAGAGGUCGUUGGAUACUGGUUGACUAGAGGACGGUAGAGGCGUGUGGAAUUCCGGGUGUAGUGGUGAAAUGCGUAGAGAUCCGGAGGAACACCAGUGGCGAAGGCGACCCCCUGGACCGGUACUGACGCUGAGGCGCGAAAGCGUGGGUAGCAAACGGG
This 253-nucleotide ribosomal RNA is filed under the name uncultured bacterium. Its description in RNAcentral is "partial 16S ribosomal RNA". It matches the Rfam family "Bacterial small subunit ribosomal RNA", at positions 524 to 776 of the family's 1533-position model. The record is from RNAcentral.